AGGGUGCAAGCGUUAUCCGGCUUUACUGGGUUUGAAGGGUGCGUAGGUGGGUUGGGAAGUCAGUGGUGAAAUACUUUCGCUUAACGAAGGAACUGCCAUUGAUACUAUCAAUCUUGAAUGUAGUGGAGGUAGGCGGAAUGCGUCAUGUAGCGGUGAAAUGCUUAGAUAUGACACAGAACACCGAUUGCGAAGGCAGCUCACUAAACUGUAACUGACGCUGAGGCACGAAAGCGUGGGGAGCAAACAGG
Molecule: ribosomal RNA, 248 nt
Filed under: uncultured bacterium
Lineage: Bacteria
Description: partial 16S ribosomal RNA
Rfam family: Bacterial small subunit ribosomal RNA
Source: RNAcentral